GGGUUGUCAUGCCAAUGGCAUUGCCCGGUAGCUAAAUGCGGAAGAGAUAAGUGCUGAAAGCAUCUAAGCACGAAACUUGCCCCGAGAUGAGUUCUCCCUGACCCUUUAAGGGUCCUGAAGGAACGUUGAAGACGACGACGUUGAUAGGUCGGGUGUGUAAGUGUAGCGAUACAUUGAGCUAACCGAUACUAAUGAACCGUGAGGCUUAACCUU
RNAcentral lists this ribosomal RNA (213 nucleotides) under Citrobacter portucalensis. RNAcentral's name for it is "partial 23S ribosomal RNA". It matches the Rfam family "Bacterial large subunit ribosomal RNA", at positions 2718 to 2925 of the family's 2925-position model. Lineage: Bacteria; Pseudomonadati; Pseudomonadota; Gammaproteobacteria; Enterobacterales; Enterobacteriaceae. The record is from RNAcentral. RNAcentral also lists the same sequence under 1 other name.